CGCCCAAAUAUAUCCGACCACCACUGUGGGCUCUUACCCCCCUUACUCUCGCCGUCGCUACCACCGAAACUUCCUUCCGCGCAUGGGGUGGAGGAGGGGAUAGAAGACAGGGUGACAACCACUGGGUAAUGCUCUUCUUUUUUCGGUUAUCAUUCUUGAUUUUAUAUCUUUGUUGAUUACAGAUUUGAUCUUAAAUAUUACCCCAACUGAUAAUGUUUUUCCUGGAUUUAUUUGACCGAUAAUGCACGACUAAACAUCCCAUCGGUUAGGGGAAUCACCUGUUUCAAGAAUUGACCAAGUAGGUACAUUUGUAAAAAAAUUAUACUUUUGAAUAUUCGCUUGACAAUAUGCUUUUGAUUCAAGUUUGUUAUCUUAACCAGUUUAAAAAUUGUUAGCUUUUGAUUUAUGUGGAUGCUUGCGAGUUGAUACAAAUCUCCGUGUUACUCUAAAUUUUUUUCUUUCAA
Erigeron canadensis is the source of this 464-nucleotide long non-coding RNA. RefSeq lists it as uncharacterized. The record is from RefSeq and is a predicted model, not a curated record. The transcript has 2 exons. NCBI's taxonomy places the organism in Eukaryota, Viridiplantae, Streptophyta, Magnoliopsida, Asterales, Asteraceae.